GACGUAGGGCGCAAGCGUUGUCCGGAUUUAUUGGGCGUAAAGAGCUCGUAGGCGGCCUGUCGCGUCGACCGUGAAAACCCGCAGCUCAACUGCGGGCUUGCGGUCGAUACGGGCAGGCUGGAGUUCGGUAGGGGAGACUGGAAUUCCUGGUGUAGCGGUGAAAUGCGCAGAUAUCAGGAGGAACACCGGUGGCGAAGGCGGGUCUCUAGGCCGAUACUGACGCUGAGGAGCGAAAGCGUGGGGAGCGAACAGG
This 253-nucleotide ribosomal RNA is filed under the name uncultured bacterium. Its description in RNAcentral is "partial 16S ribosomal RNA". It matches the Rfam family "Bacterial small subunit ribosomal RNA", at positions 524 to 776 of the family's 1533-position model. The record is from RNAcentral.